Molecule: transfer RNA, 75 nt
Filed under: Synergistaceae bacterium
Lineage: Bacteria; Thermotogati; Synergistota; Synergistia; Synergistales; Synergistaceae
Description: tRNA-Ala
Rfam family: tRNA
About the family: Transfer RNA (tRNA) molecules are approximately 80 nucleotides in length. Their secondary structure includes four short double-helical elements and three loops (D, anti-codon, and T loops).
Source: RNAcentral
GGGGCUGUGGCGCAGCGGGAGCGCGCUUCCAUGGCAUGGAAGAUGUCAGGGGUUCAAAUCCCCUCAGCUCCACCA